AGAAAGAGUAAUGUUAUACACAUAAAUAUUAACAUUUUGUAGAGCAACAACAGAAUAAAAACCAAAAUAUGAACACCAGCAACUAAAACAGGAACCAUUAAAUGAAUAUUAUAUACAGCAAUAACAGCAUCAAAUAAUGGAAAUAAUGGACCUUAUUGCACAAAUCAAAAACAAAAUUUCAGCAUUACUACUUUAUUGGUUAUAUCAAUAAAAGAAAUUGAGUUUAUCAGUCUAGAUCCUACAAGCAAGCAGAUCUAUCACAUAAUUUUAAAUGAAGAUUUAUCUAUUAUAGUAAUUUAUUCUAAUAACGAAAAAAAAAACUUUAGACCAAAAAAUAUUUUCUUCUGAUGAGGUUUAUGGAUAUUACAGUCUGUUGAAGUUUGGCCAUUAUGUGUUGGUAUACAAUUUAUUUAUGAUGUUACAGUAGUUAAACCAUCCGAGUACAAAACAUGUUUAAAAUCCACUAUUCUUAAUGAAUGGAAACUACCAACUUGAGAGGAAGCUAAGAGAAAGGUUCUAUUGGGUGGACUACAAGGAAAAGGGAUAUACAUGAGGAUCU
Molecule: long non-coding RNA, 559 nt
Organism: Sitophilus oryzae (rice weevil)
Lineage: Eukaryota; Metazoa; Arthropoda; Insecta; Coleoptera; Curculionidae
Exons: 3
Source: RefSeq, a predicted model, not a curated record